ACCCUACGGGGGGCAGCAGUGGGGAAUAUUGUGCAAUGGGGGAAACCCUGACGCAGCAACGCCGCGUGCGGGAUGAAGGCUUUCGGGUUGUAAACCGCUUUCAGCAGGGAAGAUAAUGACGGUACCUGCAGAAGAAGCCCCGGCUAACUACGUGCCAGCAGCCGCGGUAAUACGUAGGGGGCAAGCGUUAUCCGGAUUCAUUGGGCGUAAAGCGCGCGCAGGCGGGCCGCUAAGCGGGACCUCUAAUCUUGGGGCUCAACCUCCAGCCGGGUCCCGGACGUGCAGCCUUGAGUGCGGUAGGGGGG
Molecule: ribosomal RNA, 305 nt
Filed under: uncultured bacterium
Lineage: Bacteria
Description: bacterial SSU rRNA
Rfam family: Bacterial small subunit ribosomal RNA
Source: RNAcentral